This 431-nucleotide ribosomal RNA is filed under the name uncultured Alphaproteobacteria bacterium. RNAcentral's name for it is "bacterial SSU rRNA". It matches the Rfam family "Bacterial small subunit ribosomal RNA", at positions 958 to 1385 of the family's 1533-position model. Lineage: Bacteria; Pseudomonadati; Pseudomonadota; Alphaproteobacteria. The record is from RNAcentral.
AACGCGAAGAACCUUACCAGCCCUUGACAUGUCCCGUACGGGGCCGAGAGAUCGGCUUCUUCAGUUCGGCUGGCGGGAACACAGGUGCUGCAUGGCUGUCGUCAGCUCGUGUCGUGAGAUGUUGGGUUAAGUCCCGCAACGAGCGCAACCCUCACCUUCAGUUGCCAUCGGGUAAAGCCGGGCACUCUGAAGGAACUGCCGGUGACAAGCCGGAGGAAGGCGGGGAUGACGUCAAGUCCUCAUGGCCUUUAUGGGCUGGGCUACACACGUGCUACAAUGGCGGUGACAGAGGGAGGCAGAGGAGCGAUCCCGAGCCAAUCUCAAAAAGCCGUCUCAGUUCGGAUUGUUCUCUGCAACUCGAGAGCAUGAAGCUGGAAUCGCUAGUAAUCGCGGAUCAGCACGCCGCGGUGAAUACGUUCCCGGGCCUUGUA